UAGGGAAUCUUCGGCAAUGGACGAAAGUCUGACCGAGCAACGCCGCGUGAGUGAAGAAGGUUUUCGGAUCGUAAAACUCUGUUGUUAGAGAAGAACAAGGACGUUAGUAACUGAACGUCCCCUGACGGUAUCUAACCAGAAAGCCACGGCUAACUACGUGCCAGCAGCCGCGGUAAUACGUAGGUGGCAAGCGUUGUCCGGAUUUAUUGGGCGUAAAGCGAGCGCAGGCGGUUUCUUAAGUCUGAUGUGAAAGCCCCCGGCUCAACCGGGGAGGGUCAUUGGAAACUGGGAGACUUGAGUGCAGAAGAGGAGAGUGGAAUUCCCUGUGUAGCGGUGAAAUGCGUAGAUAUAUGGAGGAACACCAGUGGCGAAGGCGGCUCUCUGGUCUGUAACUGACGCUGAGGCUCGAAAGCGUGGGGAGCAAACAGG
RNAcentral lists this ribosomal RNA (429 nucleotides) under Gemmatimonadota bacterium. RNAcentral's name for it is "Gemmatimonadetes bacterium partial 16S ribosomal RNA". It matches the Rfam family "Bacterial small subunit ribosomal RNA", at positions 355 to 776 of the family's 1533-position model. Lineage: Bacteria; Pseudomonadati; Gemmatimonadota. The record is from RNAcentral.